UGCAAUACAAGGGCGACAUAUCCGACGCUUUCAGCAACAGUGCAGACAAUUUGGUUUUGUUUUAAAUUAUCCAGUAGCCUAACCUUAAUUUAAACAUGGACGUGUGCUUGGUAGGUCUAACAAAAAAAAACACAAUAACAUGUUACAUGCCCGUGCCAUCUAUUGCCCGCAUAGAGGAGUAUUUGGCCGUUUUCAACAUCUUUACCGUGCGAGAGAGAGAUGGCUUUCUCCAAUGCAACCCACGUAUCACAGGACGCUUUCGGAUUUGGCCUUCAAUCCAAGGGCGACAUAUCUGACGCUUUCAGUAAAAGCGCGGAUAAUUUGCUUUUGUUUCAAAUGAUCCAGUAACCUUAAUUUAAACAUGAAUGUGUGCUUGUUAGGCUUAGUCAAAAAACACAAUAAUAUGUGACAUGCCCAUGCCAUCUAUUGCCUGCAUAGAGGAUUUGAUUGGUCAUUUUCAACACCUUUAUCGUGCGAGAGAGACGCUCAUGGCUUUCUUCAAUGAAACCCACGGGCGUUUCACAGGACGCAUUCGGAUUUGGCCAAAUUGCAAUACAAGGGCGACAUAUCCGACGCUUUCAGCAACAGUGCGGACAAUUGUGUUUUGUUUUAAAUUAUCCAGUAGCCUAACCUUUAUUAUUGAAAGUACAUCUUCGGUACACAAGUUCUCUCUUUUGCUCUAGUCUUCCGGUCCGCCUGCCAGAAAUAUUUGUUCCGCCUGCUCCGCGUGUUAGUUUAGUGAAAAUAUAUUAAGCUAUGGUGGCGAAGCCAUUAAGUUUAGAACAAGUUCGCCACUGCACCCUAUCAAAAAGACCUUGUUUGCGACUUGAACCAAGACAGAAGGUGCUUUGGAGGAACAUGUCAGUGAUAUGUUCCUUCUGUAAAGCACUGGAGUACCUGAGCUAUAUUUCUCAAAGUGAACCCUCAUACAGAGACCCUACUGAGUACUACGCAGAGGCGCCUGGCGGUACAGCUACAAGGUCAACCUCAGCAUAGAUGAGUCCAGAAUCCACGCCCCUUAGGUAUUUGCUCCUGAUAUCCUGACCAGCAAAACAUAUACAGAAAGAAGUGUUCCACUACUAAUUUCCGUUCAUCUGUGGUUCUCCUGACAUGUUGGGAGAGCAGCAUUUCAAUUUCAAUUCUGACUGCUCUUCAAUUAACAUAAUCAUCCUCAACAUCCUCACAUCUUGCGCAUCCUCACAUUCUGCACAUCCUCACAUCCUGUGGUUCACUGCAACGGGUAGUUACAUCAGUACAGCGGAUCAUUGGCGCAUGAACUCGCCACAUUGAAAGUUUACUGUUCCACUCUGAGUAACAUCUCAUAUUAAUAGCUUGAAUUUCCCAUUGGGCAUCAAUAAAGUAUCUAUCUAUCUAUUAGCACUAUUUUGUAAUUGUACCACACUGACAAAUUGCUGCUACUCUACUAUUCAAUGAUUAUUUUACCACACCAAUGGAGUUCGAUGAAAUAUACAUCAUGCACUGCGCGUGCAGACAGCAGUUGCAGGAAUAUGCUAUCAUCUUGAGCAAUAUCGUUAUUUUUGCACUUAAACAUAACAUUCCAGAAUCACAUCCAAAACUUUUCCACGUUGAGUGACUACCAUUGUUUUUCCACUUAAAAAUGAGUUUCUUUAAAUUAUACUGAUAAUUGUAACUAGAUACUUGUUUGAGUUUAUUAUAUUUA
Alosa sapidissima (American shad) is the source of this 1681-nucleotide long non-coding RNA. RefSeq lists it as uncharacterized. The transcript is spliced from 3 exons. The record is from RefSeq and is a predicted model, not a curated record. NCBI's taxonomy places the organism in Eukaryota, Metazoa, Chordata, Actinopteri, Clupeiformes, Clupeidae.